Molecule: ribosomal RNA, 253 nt
Filed under: uncultured bacterium
Lineage: Bacteria
Description: partial 16S ribosomal RNA
Rfam family: Bacterial small subunit ribosomal RNA
Source: RNAcentral
UACGUAGGUGGCAAGCGUUGUCCGGAUUUAUUGGGCGUAAAGGGAGCGCAGGCGGUGAUUUAAGUCUGAUGUGAAAGCCCACGGCUCAACCGUGGAAUGGCAUUGGAAACUGGGUCACUUGAGUGCAGAAGAGGAAAGCGGAAUUCCAUGUGUAGCGGUGAAAUGCGUAGAUAUAUGGAGGAACACCAGUGGCGAAGGCGGCUUUCUGGUCUGUAACUGACGCUGAGGCUCGAAAGCGUGGGUAGCAAACAGG